Molecule: long non-coding RNA, 542 nt
Organism: Glycine soja
Lineage: Eukaryota; Viridiplantae; Streptophyta; Magnoliopsida; Fabales; Fabaceae
Exons: 3
Source: RefSeq, a predicted model, not a curated record
ACAGUUGAGAAACAAUAUGUUUUGUUCGUUGACAAAAGAAAACAAGAAGAAAGAAAAAAAAUGGUGCAAGAAUGAGAUAUUUCUUGGCUUGUCCCCAACAACAACAAAAGUAAUGGCACACUCAAGUUACGUUUAAAGUUCAAAAUUUCCAAAUUCUUCAAAUCAUACCAUGACUCAAGAAGAAGAAGAAGGACGUACAAAUACAAGAAAAGUUGGAAGGGGAGUAACUUAUGGUUUAAGUGUUGCAAAUAAAAAAGAUGAGUACUACAAACAAAAUGUGUGUUUUCAUUCUACUUGAUAAGAUGGUGGCUGCUGGACCAAGAGUUGCAGAUUUUGUCACUGAAAUUUUUAUUAUUGUUCAAAAGCAUACUCCUUUUAACAUUGACAAGUGGAAGCAAGUUCCCGAAGUUGCAAAAGAAAAGAUAGUUACAAAAGUUUUGGUAAAUUUAAUUUUUGUACACAUAAUUUUUUUUAUUUUAUUUUUUUCGUGUUAUUAGCCUAACUUGACAUUAAUUAGUUUAAUUUAUUUAUCAUGUACAUGA